UCAUGAGUGGCCUGUCUUCCCGAGGCUGUAUUGGAGGCCCCUUGGCCGGGUAAUGACCCUUCAUGACUGACGAUAGAUUAUUCAAGGUAUCUACCUUUAGGGGCAUUUUCCUGGAGAUCAGGCCCAGAGGCAGUGACUUUCCUUUGUCCACCUGGGAGCAACAUGUAAAGAAGCUGAAAGUCCCAAGUGGCUUCUGGCCUGAAAAGUCCUUCAUUUACCUACAUCUGCCCCCUCUGACCCAGCCCUCCUUUCUACAGGGGUGUCACUGUGUGAGGGAACUCAAGCUAGUCUGCUGGAUAAUGAGACCAUAUGAAGCAGAAACAAACCAUCCCAGCUGAGAUGAGAUCACCAGAUGAAACACCCAACUAAGUCUAGCUCAAUUUGCAAAAAUAAAGUUGUUUUAAGCCAAAAACAGAAAAAUGUAUGAAUUUUAAAGA
Long non-coding RNA from Eptesicus fuscus (big brown bat), 437 nucleotides. RefSeq lists it as uncharacterized. NCBI's taxonomy places the organism in Eukaryota, Metazoa, Chordata, Mammalia, Chiroptera, Vespertilionidae. The transcript is spliced from 3 exons. The record is from RefSeq and is a predicted model, not a curated record.